RNAcentral lists this ribosomal RNA (582 nucleotides) under uncultured bacterium. RNAcentral's name for it is "bacterial SSU rRNA". It matches the Rfam family "Bacterial small subunit ribosomal RNA", at positions 337 to 909 of the family's 1533-position model. The record is from RNAcentral.
UCCUACGGGAGGCAGCAGUAGGGAAUCUUCCGCAAUGGACGAAAGUCUGACGGAGCAACGCCGCGUGAGUGAUGAAGGCUUUCGGGUCGUAAAACUCUGUUGUUAGGGAAGAACAAGUGCUAGUUGAAUAAGCUGGCACCUUGACGGUACCUAACCAGAAAGCCACGGCUAACUACGUGCCAGCAGCCGCGGUAAUACGUAGGUGGCAGGCGUUAUCCGGAAUUAUUGGGCGUAAAGCGCGCGCAGGUGGUUUCUUAAGUCUGAUGUGAAAGCCCACGGCUCAACCGUGGAGGGUCAUUGGAAACUGGGAGACUUGAGUGCAGAAGAGGAAAGUGGAAUUCCAUGUGUAGCGGUGAAAUGCGUAGAGAUAUGGAGGAACACCAGUGGCGAAGGCGACUUUCUGGUCUGUAACUGACACUGAGGCGCGAAAGCGUGGGGAGCAAACAGGAUUAGAUACCCUGGUAGUCCACGCCGUAAACGAUGAGUGCUAAGUGUUAGAGGGUUUCCGCCCUUUAGUGCUGAAGUUAACGCAUUAAGCACUCCGCCUGGGGAGUACGGCCGCAAGGCUGAAACUCAAAGGAA